RNAcentral lists this ribosomal RNA (465 nucleotides) under uncultured bacterium. Its description in RNAcentral is "partial 16S ribosomal RNA". It matches the Rfam family "Bacterial small subunit ribosomal RNA", at positions 28 to 507 of the family's 1533-position model. The record is from RNAcentral.
GACGAACGCUGGCGGCGUGCUUAACACAUGCAAGUCGAACGGAAAGGCCCCUUUGGGGGUCCUCGAGUGGCGAACGGGUGAGUAACACGUGAGUAACCUGCCCUUUACUUCGGGAUAACUUCAGGAAACUGGGGCUAAUACCGGAUAGGAAUCCUUGCUGCAUGGUGGGGGUUGGAAAGCUUCGGCGGCUUUGGAUGGACUCGCGGCCUAUCAGCUUGUUGGUGGGGUAGUGGCUUACCAAGGCUUUGACGGGUAGCCGGCCUGAGAGGGCGACCGGCCACAUUGGGACUGAGAUACGGCCCAGACUCCUACGGGAGGCAGCAGUGGGGAAGAUUGCACCAGGGGCGGAAGCCUGAUGCAGCAACGCCGCGGGCGGGAUGACGGCCUUCGGGUUGUAAAACGCUUUCAGCAGGGGCGAAGCUUGUGGUGACGGUACCUGAAGAAGAAGCACCGGCUAACUACGUG